AUUGAACGCUGGCGGCAUGCCUUACACAUGCAAGUCGAACGGUAACAGGUCUUCGGAUGCUGACGAGUGGCGAACGGGUGAGUAAUACAUCGGAACGUGCCUAGUAGUGGGGGAUAACUACUCGAAAGAGUGGCUAAUACCGCAUGAGAUCUACGGAUGAAAGCAGGGGAUCGCAAGACCUUGUGCUACUAGAGCGGCCGGUGGCAGAUUAGGUAGUUGGUGGGAUAAAAGCUUACCAAGCCGACGAUCUGUAGCUGGUCUGAGAGGACGAUCAGCCACACUGGGACUGAGAAACGGCCCAGACUCCUACGGGAGGCAGCAGUGGGGAAUUUUGGACAAUGGGCGCAAGCCUGAUCCAGCGAUGCCGCGUGCAGGAUGAAGGCCUUCGGGUUGUAAACUGCUUUUGUACGGAACGAAAAGCCCCGGGUUAAUACCCUGGGGUCAUGACGGUACCGUAAGAAUAAGCACCGGCUAACUACGUGCCAGCCGCCGCGGUAA
Molecule: ribosomal RNA, 498 nt
Filed under: uncultured bacterium
Lineage: Bacteria
Description: partial 16S ribosomal RNA
Rfam family: Bacterial small subunit ribosomal RNA
Source: RNAcentral